AUACGUAGGUGGCAAGCGUUAUCCGGAUUUACUGGGCGUAAAGGGCGUGUAGGCGGUCUUGCAAGUCAGAAGUGAAAUUCCUGAGCUCAACUCGGGCGCUGCUUCUGAAACUGCAGGACUUGAGUGCUGGAGGGGCUGAUAGAAUUCCUGGUGUAGCGGUAAAAUGCGUAGAUAUCAGGAGGAAUACCGGUGGCGAAGGCGGUCAUCUGGCUCAUUAUUGACGCUGAAGCACGAAAGCGUAGGUAGCGAACAGGAUUAGAUACCCUGGUAGUCUACGCUGUAAACGAUGUAUGCUUGGUGUUAUGCGUUUAUGCGCGUAGUGCCGUAGGAAAUCUGGUAAGCAUACCACCUGGGGAGUACGAAUGCAAGUUUGAAACUCAAAGGAAUUGACGGGG
Molecule: ribosomal RNA, 395 nt
Filed under: uncultured bacterium
Lineage: Bacteria
Description: partial 16S ribosomal RNA
Rfam family: Bacterial small subunit ribosomal RNA
Source: RNAcentral